AACCUGGUUGAUCCUGCCAGUAGUCAUAUGCUUGUCUCAAAGACUAACUCAUGCAUGUCUAAGUAUAAGUUUUAUACGGCGAAACUGCGAAUGGCUCAUUAAAACAGUUAUAGUUUACUUGAUAAUCAAAUUUACAUGGAUACCCGUGGUAAUUCUAGAGCUAAUACAUGCUGUUAUGCCCGACUUACGAAGGGCGGUAUUUAUUAGAUAACAACCAAUAUUCUUCGUGUCUAUUGUGGUGAUUCAUAAUAACUUUCGAAUCGCACGGUCUUUGACCGCGAUAAUUCAUUCAAGUUCCUGCCUCAUCAGCUUUCGAUGGUAGUGUAUUGGACUACCAUGGCAAUAACGGGUAACGGAGAAUUAGGGUUCGAUUCCGGAGAGGGAGCCUGAGAAACGGCUACCACAUCUAAGGAUGGCAGCAGAGGCGUAAAUUACCCAAUCCUGACUCAGGGAGGUAGUGACAAGAAAUAACGAACCGUGACAUUGUUACGGGAUUGCAAUGAGCCGAUUUUUUUUCCCUUGGUGAGGAGCAAUUGGAGGGCAAGUCUGGUGCCAGCAGCCGCGGUAAUUCCAGCUCCAAUAGCAUAUAUUAAUGU
Molecule: ribosomal RNA, 596 nt
Filed under: uncultured marine eukaryote
Lineage: Eukaryota
Description: SSU rRNA
Rfam family: Eukaryotic small subunit ribosomal RNA
Source: RNAcentral